This 492-nucleotide ribosomal RNA is filed under the name uncultured bacterium. RNAcentral describes it as "partial 16S ribosomal RNA". It matches the Rfam family "Bacterial small subunit ribosomal RNA", at positions 29 to 507 of the family's 1533-position model. The record is from RNAcentral.
AGUGAACGCUGGCGGUAGGCCUAACACAUGCAAGUCGAACGGCAGCACAGUAAGAGCUUGCUCUUACGGGUGGCGAGUGGCGGACGGGUGAGGAAUACAUCGGAAUCUACUUUUUCGUGGGGGAUAACGUAGGGAAACUUACGCUAAUACCGCAUACGACCUACGGGUGAAAGCAGGGGAUCUUCGGACCUUGCGCGAUUGAAUGAGCCGAUGUCGGAUUAGCUAGUUGGCGGGGGAAAGGCCCACCAAGGCGACGAUCCGUAGCUGGUCUGAGAGGAUGAUAAGCCACACUGGAACUGUGACACGGUCCAGACUCCUACGGGAGGCAGCAGUGGGGAAUAUUAGACAAUGGGCGCAAGCCUGAUCCAGCCAUACCGCGUGGGUGAAGAAGGCCUUCGGGUUGUAAAGCCCUUUUGUUGGGAAAGAAAAGCAGCAGGUUAAUACCCCGCUGUUCUGACGGUACCCAAAGAAUAAGCACCGGCUAACUUCGUG